RNAcentral lists this ribosomal RNA (301 nucleotides) under uncultured bacterium. RNAcentral describes it as "partial 16S ribosomal RNA". It matches the Rfam family "Bacterial small subunit ribosomal RNA", at positions 509 to 809 of the family's 1533-position model. The record is from RNAcentral.
CAGCAGCCACGGUAAUACGGAGGAUCCAAGCGUUAUCCGGAAUCAUUGGGUUUAAAGGGUCCGUAGGCGGUCUUGUAAGUCAGUGGUGAAAGCCCAUCGCUCAACGGUGGAACGGCCAUUGAUACUGCAGGACUUGAAUUAUUGGGAAGUAACUAGAAUAUGUAGUGUAGCGGUGAAAUGCUUAGAGAUUACAUGGAAUACCAAUUGCGAAGGCAGGUUACUACCAAUUGAUUGACGCUGAUGGACGAAAGCGUGGGUAGCGAACAGGAUUAGAUACCCCCGUAGUCCCUGUCUCUUAUAA